UUCCUUUAUACCUAAUUUCUCGUGAUCUGAGGACAGCAGCCUAUCUCCUAUUUUCGUCACUGCUAUUAAGACUGACAGGUGUGACUAUAGGUGUGAUUAUAGCAGGUAGAACUGGUUUUGUGAGACUACUUUAAAUUGAACUCUCCGUUCUAGUUUGUUUUACACUUAUCACUGUGCUCAAGAUUCAUGCAAGAUAGGAGGCGAAUGGUGUCGAAAGAUAUGCUUGCUAUUCCUGAAUAACCAUCACCUGCCACCAUGAAUGUUGGAUUUUUUCUAAGCCUACUGGCAGCUAUGUGCCCGCCUCAUGUCUGGACCACAGACUCUACUGAGAUUCCUGCAAUUAACACCAGUACAGGACCGGUGGUCAGUAAACCUUCAAGACCUCAGCCAUUCAUGGAACAAACCAAACAAUUGGACAAACAAACAACUCCAACCAUGGACUCAAAGAAAUUGACUUCAACGAUGGAAACAACAUUUAGCUCCAAAAGUAAAACGGAAACCGUAGGAGCUUCAAUAAUGGCAAAUGUAACUGGAGUCAAAGGAAGUACAUCAGACCCGAUGGAGGAAAUAAAUGCUGAAUCAACGAAGGGAAGUACAAGUCAAAAUAUAGCCGCUGCCAAUGAAACAAAUACUGUUUAUAAUGUUACACCUGUGACUGGUCUCCAGGAACCUGCCUUAACCAGUACAACAUCUGGCACUUCCACAUUGCUGCAUAAUAAGUCAAGACUGAUGAACUCCUCAGCAGAAACAGUGACUGCAGCACAGAUUUAUACUGACUCCACUCUUUCAGCCUCAACUACAGCUCAGUCCAGCAAAGCUCUGACUAUACCUAAAUUUAGCUCACCUUUACCAAAUUCAACCCAGAUGGAUACAAUGGUAUCUCCCAACAACAUACCUAUAAACAUUGUUGUGACAGCUAUGGCAGCCGCACCUAAGGUCACAGACGUCACAGAUCACAGCAUGCCAAUCACCAUUCCACAGUUAUCACAAACUGGUCCUACCAAAACACCUACACGGAAAUUCCAAGACACAUCCGAUAUAGUGCAGUCAAAUUUAACUUCUGACAUAUUUAACAACAUAUCUGGGACGGUGUCAUCUCUGAAUUCAUCAGCUUUGAUUAAUUUGAAAGCCAUGAAUUCUACGUUCAGCCCAUCUGCAUCCACUACUCCAAAAAAAGCCACAAGUACAGGCAAAAUCAACAAAACGUUAGCCUUAAACCUUAGAACAACAUUAAAAACAAGUUUCCCUGAACAAAAAACAUUAGUAACAACCACAUUGACACAAAUCAGAGCUGAAUCAAAGACAACAUCAACAGCUCCAGCACAAAGGACAGCAUCUAUGUUGACAGAUUUGGCUAUAUCACAAACAUCAACAUUGGAAUCAAUUGUAGUACCUCCAAUGGCUGAUAGUACAGGGUCAAUUACAACAACUAUGAAAAAAGCUAGGGCAACAGCAUUUACAAAACAAACUAGAGGACCUGUGGAUACAGUGUCCACAACUACAACAACAACAACAUAUAUUCCACUCACAAUAAAAACACAAACACAAUUUACGGUUGUAACCACAAAAUCAGAAACUUCAGCCGAAGCUGCACCACCUUUAACAACAAAAUCAAAGACUACACAAACAUCAACUUCAGCAUCAAUAACAACAGAGCUACCCACGGCUGCAAAACAAACUAAUGAAUCAACAUCAAUUUACAGCACAUUACCACAUCGUGUUUCAGUGAUUUCCACCACACAAAGUACACCAGCAAUGAACACAGCAUUUACAACACAAACUAAAGCAACUGUGGAAACAGUGUCCUCAACUCCAUCAGCAGAAUCUAUUCCAUUCACAAUAGAAUCAUCAACAACACCAACACAAAGUACAGUUGUAACAACAAAAUCAGCCACUUUAGAAACAGCAGUAUCUGGAACAUCCAAAUCAGUGACUUCACAAACAUCAGCAACAUUAACAACAGAGAAACUCACAGCAGCAGAAUUAACUGAGGAGUCGACUACAAUUCCCAGCCCAUCGACACAUAGUGCAUCAGUGAUGUCAACCACACAAAGUACACCAGCUAGGGCAACAUCAUUUACAAAACAAACUAGAGGACCUGUGGAAACAGUGUCCACAACUACUUCAACAACAUAUAUUCCACUCACAAGAAAAACAACAACAACACCAACACAAUUUACAGUUGUAACCACAUCAUCAGAAACUUCAGCAGAAGCUGAACCAUCUGUAACAGCCAAAUCAGAGACUACACAAACAUCAACUUCAGCAUCAAUAACAACAGAGCUACCCACGGCUGCAAAACACACUUCUGAGUCAACGACAAUUCCCAGCACAUCAACACAUAGUGGAUCAGUGACUACAAUAACACAAACUACACCAUCUACUCCAGAAACAUCAGAAACAACACCAACUGUGUCAACAACCAUACCAACACAAUCUAUUCCGGCCACAAUAGAAUCCUCAACAACAGCAACAGAGAGUACAGCAAUUGUUUUUUCAUCACCACAAAGUUUAACACACGUUACAGUUGUAAAUACACAAUCAGCAUCUUCAGCAGAAGCUGAACCAUCUGUAACAGCCAAAUCAGAGACUACACAAACAUCAACUUCAGCAUCAAUAACAACAGAGCUACCCACGGCUGCAAAACACACUUCUGAGUCAACGACAAUUCCCAGCACAUCAACACAUAGUGGAUCAGUGACUACAAUAACACAAACUACACCAUCUACUCCAGAAACAUCAGAAACAACACCAACUGUGUCAACAACCAUACCAACACAAUCUAUUCCGGCCACAAUAGAAUCCUCAACAACAGCAACAGAGAGUACAGCAAUUGUUUUUUCAUCACCACAAAGUUUAACACACGUUACAGUUGUAAAUACACAAUCAGCAUCUUCAGCAGAAGCUGUGCCAUCUGUAACAACCAAAUCAGAGACUACACAAACAUCAACUUCAGCAUCAAUAACAACAGAGCUACCCACGGCUGCAAAACACACUUCUGAAUCAACAUCAAUUCACAGCACAUCAACACAUAGUGGAUCAGUGAUUUCCACCACACAAAGUACACCACCUAUGGACACAGCAUUUACAACACAAACUGGAGGACUUGUAGAAAGAUUGUCGAACACUAGUUCAACAACAUAUAUUCCAAUCACAAUGAAAACACCAACAACACCAACACAAUUUAUGGUUGGAACCACAAAAUCAGAAACUUCAGCAGAAGCUGCGCCACCUGUAACAACAAAAUCAGAGACUACACGAACAUCAACUUCAGCAUCAAUAACAACAGAGCUACCCACGGCUGCAAAACAAACUAAUGAAUCAACAUCAAUUUACAGCACAUUACCACAUCGUGUUUCAGUGAUUUCCACCACACAAAGUACACCAGCAAUGAACACAGCAUUUACAACACAAACUAAAGCAACUGUGGAAACAGUGUCCUCAACUCCAUCAGCAGAAUCUAUUCCAUUCACAAUAGAAUCAUCAACAACACCAACACAAAGUACAGUUGUAACAACAAAAUCAGCCACUUUAGAAACAGCAGUAUCUGGAACAUCCAAAUCAGUGACUUCACAAACAUCAGCAACAUUAACAACAGAGAAACUCACAGCAGCAGAAUUAACUGAGGAGUCGACUACAAUUCCCAGCCCAUCGACACAUAGUGCAUCAGUGAUGUCAACCACACAAAGUACACCAGCUAGGGCAACAUCAUUUACAAAACAAACUAGAGGACCUGUGGAAACAGUGUCCACAACUACUUCAACAACAUAUAUUCCACUCACAAGAAAAACAACAACAACACCAACACAAUUUACAGUUGUAACCACAUCAUCAGAAACUUCAGCAGAAGCUGAACCAUCUGUAACAGCCAAAUCAGAGACUACACAAACAUCAACUUCAGCAUCAAUAACAACAGAGCUACCCACGGCUGCAAAACACACUUCUGAGUCAACGACAAUUCCCAGCACAUCAACACAUAGUGGAUCAGUGAUUUCCGCCACACAAAGUAAAGCACCAUAUAGCGUUGCAUCUUUAAAACCAACACCCCUACUAUCCUACACAACAGCAGAAUCACUAAAUUCAUUUCAGAACGACAAUACUACAAAUGUCACAUCCUUCAACGCACAAAAAACUGUGACAGUUAUGACAGACGUUGCCACAGACUCAAGUUCACUUCUGCCUUGGUCAUUUUCCCCGGAAGCAUCAACUCUAAAUCCUGCUGAAGUCAACACAACACAGCAGCAAGUUGAUCCUAACUCUGUUCCCUUAUCUGGAGGAAAUACAGUAUUUUUCAAAUAUAGCCCCAUAAUUGCUUCUGUGAGGCCCCUUGACUUUGAAUACCCAACUGUGAUAUGGACCACAUUCCAAGUUUUGGAUGCCUUCUCUGAAGAGAUGAACGAGCCAAAUCAGAACAACACAAAUUAGGUAAUUACAAACGUUUUUAAGGAGUAGUUUAACAUGUUAAGAAACACAUUUUUUUCUUUUCAAUAGUUAAAUGAGAACAAUAACAUCACUCUCAUAUUUGUAAUGCUGCAGCCUGUAGAUGAUGAGCUUAACAUAAAGAAUGGCUAUGUCCAAUGGUAACAAAAUCUGCCUACCUAAUUGUCUGAAAUGUUGUCUUACAACUUUCCAGGUUUUUGCUAAGCUCAGCUAACUGGUUGCUGGCUGUUGCUACAUAUUAAAGUCUACAGCAUAUUUCCCGAAAUUGAAAAUGUUACCUUUACAGUCUGUGAUAUUAUUAUAUUCAUAUAUUCAUAUACUACCAAAAUAAGCGGAUUUAAUGUACUGUACAUAUCAUCACUGAUACGGUUUCUUACACUGAAUGCUAGUUUUCUUAGCUCAGCUGACCAUUGAUUAUGAGCAGCCAACUGCUAAGUAGCUAAAAGAAGAAAGAAGAAAUGUACACUUUUAUUAUCCCCGUGGGGAGCAACUGGGGAUACAGUGUCUUGCUCAAGGACACUUCGACAUGUUGGGAGGACAGGUAUCGAAACCUGCUACCUUGUGGUUACAGGACGACCACCCUACCCCAAGAGCCACAAAUAUGGGGAGGGGUUAAGACCUGCAUAGUUGUGUCUAAACAUUUUUUAAAUAGAAAUACAACGUCAAUAAUUGGGGAUACAAUGUAUUGCUCAAGGACACUUUGACAUUCAACUAUAGCGGGAUCGGGAAUUGAACACCAUACAUUAUGGUUAUGGGAUGACCACUCAUCCCCAUGAGCUACAGCCAACUCCCAAAUAACAGUAAAAUGGUAGCUGUGAAGAAGACCGUGUGCAGCCACAAAUAUAUUUAUCACUCAGCAACCAAUUCAAUAGAUGGUUAUAACAAGCAUUGUUAAAAUGUCCAAAUAACUUCUUCCAACAUGUUUAAAAUUGCUUUGGCCAGUUACACUCCCAUUUGUCUCCGUCUGUGUGUCCUUUUUUAAGGUAACACAAAAUAAUAUUCCAAAAACAUGUUAAUUACAAAUCUAUAAUGUAUUUACAUAUCUUUUGUUUAAAGAUCUAUUUCUUGGUAUUUAUUUGUUUUUGUCUUGGUUUCUGGGUUCCAUUGCCAUUUAAUUUCCAGUUCAAUUAGGAGUUUUCAAACUACUUUUACUUAGACAAUUAGUUGUGAUAUUUUCUAAGGGAUUUCAUAUUUGACUCUAAAAAAAUGUUCUUUCAGUUCUCACUUUAUCUGACAUGAUAUUCAUACAGUAGUUUUGACCUAACCACAGAAGAUAAAUACCUAUGUUACUUUAACAAAUACAAAAGAUGUGAGUUGAGUUUUCUUUCCUGUCGAGCUUUGUUGAUUGAUUUUGUCAUUCUGUUUUGGUGAUCUUAUGUGAUCUUAUCCACCUGGAUAAUUUGUGUUUUUUCUUUUUCUGUUAAUCCUAUCGUUUAUUUAUAUUUUGUAUCUCCUUAAACCAAGACUUUUAGGACAUUGCAAUUAAUUGCACUUGAAAUAAACUAAUUAUUCAUGCCU
Molecule: long non-coding RNA, 5958 nt
Organism: Cyclopterus lumpus (lumpfish)
Lineage: Eukaryota; Metazoa; Chordata; Actinopteri; Perciformes; Cyclopteridae
Source: Ensembl